AUAUGCAUACAUGCUACAACACUGAUUUGGGUUUGUCCAAUAUCUGCAGUUGGGCAGAUAGAGAUAUCAAAAUAUUCUAUAGCUUAACUGCAAUUUCAAUACUGCUACUUUUCAUAAAAUAUUUUAGCCAUAAUGAAUUAAAAGUAAAUUUACUUUUUCUGGCAUUUCAAGGAAUCAUUUUGUGUUUUGAAUUGUUUGGCCCUCUGAGGUGAAAUAACAGCAUAAAUAUCUUGCAUAAAAACCAAGAUCAUCACUCUUUUUCACUGCCUAUCAAGCUGUUUGUGCUUAACCAAGCAUUUAUUUAUCAGUUCUUAAUGGUAAGGUCAUACAAGGUUACUACACCUGAGAGAAAAAUAUGUUAGACAGGCAUUCUAAUUAAUCACAAGGAGGGUUCAAGAAGGUCUAGUUUCUGCAUGUAGAAAAAUUUAUGAAGUCUAUUCCAAGUGUGGAUCAGUAAAACGGCAGCUAAUGCAUUGUUUCUUUCAGUGUCAGCUUUUGGGGACUUAAGCUUGUCAUUCUGUGCUUGAGCACACAAAGAAAAAUAUAUAAGAUUUGCCAACCCACAAUGGAUAUGUGUCAUAACAAUCCAGGGAGUGGUUGAUGGGGCAAAAGAUAAGGCUUCAACAGUAAACUUGGAACUAUUUGACCAUCUCAUGUGUUUCCUACAUCAGGCUUCCCCAACUUGAUGGCCUCCAGUUAUUUUUGACUACAACUCUCACCAUCCCUGACCAUUAGCCAUGCUUUCUGGGGCUGAUGGGAGUUUGAUUCCAAAACAUCUGGGAGGCAUGAGAAAGGUCGGUCUGCUCUGAUGGGCAGCAGCUUUCCAAUGUCUCAGGCAGAGACAUAUUUUACAGCACUUGCUAUCUUUUAAUUAGAGAUGACAGGGAUUGAACCUGUGGCCUUCUGCACUCACAGCGUGAGUUCCUCCCAUAGUCCUGUGGUUCUUUCCCUCUGAAUACAUGUUUGGAUUUGGAUUUGAUAUCCCGCUUUAUCACUACCCUAAGGAGUCUCAAAGUGGCUAACAAUCUCCUUUCCCUUCCUCCCCCACAACAAACACUCUGUGAGGUGAGUGGGGCUGAGAGACUUCAGAGAAGUAUGACUAGCCCAAGGUCACCCAGCAGCUGCAUGUGGAGGAGCGGGGAAGCGAACCCGGUUCCCCAGAUUACAAGACUACCGCUCUUAACCACUACACCACACUGGCUCUCAUGUCUUACUCUACUGAAUCUGGAUUUGAAGAACCAUCCUUAUGUGAAGCACAGGCAUCUGCCUGCAGUCAUCCUGCUUUUAUUUCCAAAUUAAAAUCAAAACAGCUUACAAAAAUGUAGUAAAAUGCAGUAAAAAGAGCUGGAUAAAACAAUUCAGCAUAAAACCAGGGAGGCAGCUGAAAAGAGAGUGAGCCAAGCAAACAUCUCUGGGGAAAUAGUUUCACAACCUGGUUCCUGUAACAGAAAAAGCCCUGUCUUGUAUCACAGCCAGUUGUAGUUCCAAAAGUGGUGGUUGGGAAGGGUUGUAUGGGAAGAGGUGGUUCUUCAAACAGUCUGGUCUCAAAAUGUUUAAAACUUUGUAGGUAAGUAACAGCACUUUGAAUUGUACUUAAACAUGAACUGGCCAGUGCAGAUGAAACAGUGACCAGAUUGCUCGCAUUGAUCCACUUUCUUAUAAAAUAUGGGAACUACCUAUGAACUCAUGUGUCUCUCCAAAAGUUUGAACUUUUGUCACCUGGAUUUCUUGAAUCACUUUCCUUCUUUUCUUCCAGUCCUAUAAGACCUGCUCUUACCCACACAGAUCCUGGAUUUCAACAGAUAUUCCAUUAACUAAAUUAAGUUUCCUGAACCUCUGUCUCCUUAUAGCUCCUCCCACUCACACACCAUCCUUAAGCCCUGAGUGGCUCUCAGAUGCCACUGGCAUUCCAGUCCUGUCCCUUCACGUUUCUAUAUAGAUCAUAGAAUCAUAGAGUUGGAAGGGACUCUGGGGGUCACUUAGUCCAACCCCCUGUAGUGCAGGAAUCCUGCCCACAGCCGUCUUGGGGUGGGCUUGAACCACCAAGCUUUUGAUUAACAGCCAGACACACAGACUCAUUGUGCCACUAUGAAACAAUGAAUGAGCAUGCAUAGCCUGUACAAUUUUUUUUUUUAAAAAGGUGAUGGUAAAUUUUUAUCUAGCAGUCUGGAAUAAACACAAUAAGAAAUCAAUAACAGCAUGUGUAUGGGAACUUGAGUUAGGGCUUAACACUGGCUCAGUCAACAAAACUGAGUGCCAUUGGUCUGUGUCUUGACAUUUCUGGGAAGCCAGGAACAUGAAUGUGAGUGCUGGGUCUCCAGAAAGGUAUGAUACUUUGUUACUGUGAGGAAAUAAUAGGUGGCAUGCUGUGAGGAAGGAUGGGAUGCAGAGGCAAUGGGAUGUAGCAGGAUGAGACCAUUCACAUGUGAGUGUGUGGGCUUAAAGAAUGUUGUGAAAUUGCCUUAUGACAUAUGUAUUCAUGUACAUUGGACAAUAUUAAAAGAGAGGAUUUGCCAGUGGUUAUAUGAAUACUAUUUUUAAAAAGCAUUUGCAACACUUGCUGGAAGCAUCAAUUGACAGUUUAUGGAAAACUCAUUUAAAUAUAUAUUUAAUUAAAAUGUUUUCUUUUAAUAGUUCUUAAGCCUUUUGAUGCACAGACUGUGUAAUUACGGUCUUUAGAAUGAUUAGAUAAAUGCUUGCUUUAUAAUUUACUUUUCCUGCAACUGUGUUUUCAUGCAGGUUAUCUUUAUCUUGGGAGGCAUAUUUCAUUUUGUGUCAGUUUACCCUCCCCCUCCAUCUACAAAAUGCUUUAUCUGCGGAAUAUGUUUAAAUAUGCAUGCUACUUCUACUAUUGGAUAAUACUGUAAUAGUACUGUUAAAAUCAACCAAAGAAAGGCAAAUUAGUUUGUUUUUGUUACAGAUGAAACUAAAUUGUUCAUUUGUUGGCCAAAAGUAAAUUACAGACUAGCAAAAAUGACUAAAAAUGUGGGUUGGGUCUUUUGUGUGAGGAAAUUACCUGAAAAAUUACUGCAUUAGGUACACUAAGCAUGGUAUUAUCAGAAUCUGGUUCACUGCCACAACAUAAAGAGAGAGCUCCCAGCAAAUUUGAGAAAAUAAGGAGGCUACAGAGGAAGCAAUUAAAAGAGAUGCCUUAAAAACUAUAAUAGACUGUUCUUUCCUCAGCACUCGUACACUCAAAGAUACCUGGGUUCUCAAACUUCUAGAACUGUACCAAGCACAAGCUACUUUCCAACUUUUCCUUGGAUGUUUCCCAUCACAAAGUUUGCUCAUAGGAGAUUAAUUCUGAGAAAUGUUAUGUAGCAGAGAAUAGCAUUAUUUUAUAACAUUUCAACAAAAAGCAAGAAGAUGCAAGAGUGAGCUAUUCCUGCCUUUGUUGCCUAGACUGCUAAUGUGUUCUUUUAAAAAGUAAGCUGGGAUGCUUAGCCGUGUGAAUCAGACAGCCCCUUCAGUGUUGCCUUACUUACUUACUUACUUACUUACUUACUUACUAGAUGUGGGGAUCCACAGUUAGGUUCCUCAUGCCACUAUUAAGAAAAACAUUGUUAUGAUCAAUGUUUAAAAUAAUAAAACUAUUCUA
This 3598-nucleotide long non-coding RNA is filed under the name Podarcis lilfordi (Lilford's wall lizard). The record is from RNAcentral. Lineage: Eukaryota; Metazoa; Chordata; Lepidosauria; Squamata; Lacertidae.